CUCAUUUUACCCACCUAAAAAUAAACUUUAAUCCAAGUUCAAUGUUAAAUCCGAUGGUUUUGAGUGGAUUGCAAAAUAAUCUUAUCGUGUGUCACAUUUAUCGAUUCAAAGCUAUCGCUUUUUAAUUGCUUAUCAAUGACGAAUUUGUGAAAUCGCCUUUAAAUUUAUUAGUCUUCAAAUUGUGUACGAUUGAAUCCAACGUGAUUCCAUCCAUUUUGUCGCUAGACUGUAAAUAAUUUUAUGUAACUGAAAUUGAUUUAAAAUGGAAAACACCAAUCAAAACGUCUACAGAGAACUUGAUGAAAAUGUUAAAUCGUUUGAAGAGAGUUCUUCGAAAUCGUAUGGUAAAAUAGUGGGCUUUGUUGGAAUUCUAUUCAACAUAUUUGUCUUAAUUAUUCUUUUUACCUAUGGAGCCACCAUCUGGGGUGUCAUAUUCAGUGUUAGUUUUUGGAUUUUCGCCGCAAGUUGUGUAUUGUCGGUCGUUUGGAUCUUUGCAAUAGUUUUUAACAUAUUCUGGUGUAUGGUGAUGACACUCGUUUUUUAUAUCAUUCAAUUCUGUUAUUGCAUUUAUUUAGCGGUUGUUUACGUGUUGGCUAUAAUAGCCGGCGGUGUUGGUAUCGGUGAUGGUGCGUUGCUCAUAUUUAUAUUUGUUUUGGGUCUUUCUGCGACAGGUCUCAGGUGAGUUCGCUAUUCUUAACUGCUUCGUAAGUUGGUUUUUCUUGCUGACUCGAAUGUCGUCCCGCACAAUUUUUCUCCUUUUAGUGGCGUUUAUUUCUAUUAUGCUGUCAAAAGCUUCGUCAAAAUCAGUUUUACGAAGAAGGAGACUAGGAUGAAAGUAUCUUAUACGGUGGCUUCGGCCCAACAUCCCGGACAAACCGACCACUAUACAUUCGAAGAAAUAGCCGAAACGAUAUGAGAUUUUAAGCAACAGCCGUAGCACAGCUGUAUUCACGUACAUCACAUGCCUUUAAAAGGCGACUGAAAUCAGUUGAUUUCUUCACAAAUGAAUGAAAACCCAUUUCAAAUAUGCAAAGUAUGAAUAAACAAAGCGUGUUAUACGAUAAGAAAAUACUACUGUUUAAGUGAAUGUUAUCGUGACAAUAGUGAAGAUAUAAGAUAUAAGCCUAUAUGAUAAAUUGCUUCAUAACAUCUUUGCGCGCAGUAUUGCUGCAGCUGUUGACGAAUAGACACGAGGAUUGUAGUUCAAGUGUUUGAAAUUCGAACUUUGAAUGUAUAUUUUGAAAUUUAUUUGAAUAAAUUCGAUUUUAUUUAAAGAAUUAAAGAAAAAGAACGAAAAUUUCAAGCGUUUUUUUUUUCAUUAUUUGGGUUUUUUAAACACCACAUCUUUUGAGCCCAGUUUUGAAGUCUAUUUUUGCAGUUGGGAGAUCGCUUCACUGCGUUUGAGAAGUGAAUCCAGCGGUUUAUCUUAUCAAUGAUACUAUUAUCUUCGCGUCUGAUGUUCAAUUUCUUAUCUUCAGUAGUCAAAAUUUAAAAGUGUCUACAAAACAAAAAACAACUCGCGCGCUCCCUUAUUUACAAGUGUUAUUUUGCAAUGGCAAAGGCUAGUGAGUGGAAGUUUUCAAAGAGAUUGGAUGGCUUGGGAUUGCAUUGAAUGCAUUUUGUUUAUUCUUAUUCCGAGGGAUUACAGACAACAUCUUGGCUUAUGCUACAAUCUGCACGUUUGUGCUAAAUAUUGCAGCAAGUAUAACUUGGUUACUAGGAAUCGCUUUGAAUAAACCUGAUCUUAUGGCCAGUGCAUUAGUUUGCUGGGGUGGCGUUCUUUUCAUUUGGAUCAGCUUCAUAAUCAUUCUUGCUGUGCCUGGGCUCAUUUUCGGGAAUGAAUAUGCUCGCGAGACUGUUCUUUCGAUCCUUUCGAUCGGAUUUUUCUUGAUAAUUUUCACCGUCAUCUACUUUUAUUAUGCUGUAAAGAGUUAUAAAAAGCUAAAGGAGGUUAUUGAAAGAAAACGAUUAAAUGUUGCGUACACAGUGACAUCCACUGAAAAUAAUGAGAUUAAUAUCAAUUAUCGGGAUCUUGAAUUGGACCAAAGUGAAUGAGACGAGCGAGUUAUUUUCAUUUAUUCAAUGGCUUAAUGGAUAAGGACACUGGAUAGUCACAAUGUUAUAAACAACAAGCAAUUCUUUUAAGCAUUGAACGAUUUAGUGGUGUCAAUGAUAAUACGCACACAAAAAUAUUUGUGCAUAGAUUAAAAUAAAUGUGUAAGGAAUCUCAAGAUACAAACUCACGAAAUGGUAUUUAAAAGAAAUAAAUUGCUGAAUAAUGUUUGUUUCCUGAAGAAGAAGAAACGCAAUGGUUUUUUUUUCCCUUUAAGGUUGUUGGUUAUAAUUUGAAGUUUUAAAUA
Long non-coding RNA from Sitodiplosis mosellana (orange wheat blossom midge), 2360 nucleotides. RefSeq lists it as uncharacterized. The record is from RefSeq and is a predicted model, not a curated record. The transcript has 11 exons. NCBI's taxonomy places the organism in Eukaryota, Metazoa, Arthropoda, Insecta, Diptera, Cecidomyiidae.